AUUGAACGCUGGCGGCAGGCCUAACACAUGCAAGUCGAGCGAGCGGCGGACGGGUGAGUAAUGUAUGGGGACUGCCCGAUAGAGGGGGAUAACUACUGGAAACGGUGGCUAAUACCGCAUACUAUCGGAUAACCCAUAUGGGAUUGGCUAGUAGGUGGGGUAAAGGCUCACCUAGGCGACGAUAUCUCGCUGGUCUGAGAGGAUGAUCCGGCCAACUGGGAAGUAGACAAGGCCCAGAAUCCUACGGAGGCAGCAGUGGGGAAUAUUGCACAAUGGGCGGAAGCCUGAUGCAGCAAUGCCGGGGGUAUGAAGAAGGCCUUAGGGUUGGAAAGUACUUUCAGCGAGGAGGCGUUACCCGCAGAAGAAGCACCGGCUAAAUCCGUGCCAGCAGCCGCGGUAAUUCC
RNAcentral lists this ribosomal RNA (404 nucleotides) under uncultured bacterium. RNAcentral describes it as "partial 16S ribosomal RNA". It matches the Rfam family "Bacterial small subunit ribosomal RNA", at positions 29 to 527 of the family's 1533-position model. The record is from RNAcentral.